RNAcentral lists this ribosomal RNA (465 nucleotides) under Vreelandella stevensii. RNAcentral's name for it is "partial 16S ribosomal RNA". It matches the Rfam family "Bacterial small subunit ribosomal RNA", at positions 338 to 795 of the family's 1533-position model. The record is from RNAcentral. Lineage: Bacteria; Pseudomonadati; Pseudomonadota; Gammaproteobacteria; Oceanospirillales; Halomonadaceae.
CCUACGGGGGGCAGCAGUGGGGAAUAUUGGACAAUGGGGGCAACCCUGAUCCAGCCAUGCCGCGUGUGUGAAGAAGGCCCUCGGGUUGUAAAGCACUUUCAGUGAGGAAGAACGCCUGGUGGUUAAUACCCAUCAGGAAAGACAUCACUCACAGAAGAAGCACCGGCUAACUCCGUGCCAGCAGCCGCGGUAAUACGGAGGGUGCGAGCGUUAAUCGGAAUUACUGGGCGUAAAGCGCGCGUAGGUGGCUUGAUAAGCCGGUUGUGAAAGCCCCGGGCUCAACCUGGGAACGGCAUCCGGAACUGUCCAGCUAGAGUGCAGGAGAGGAAGGUAGAAUUCCCGGUGUAGCGGUGAAAUGCGUAGAGAUCGGGAGGAAUACCAGUGGCGAAGGCGGCCUUCUGGACUGAUACUGACACUGAGGUGCGAAAGCGUGGGUAGCAAACAGGAUUAGAUACCCGUGUAGUC